This 440-nucleotide ribosomal RNA is filed under the name uncultured bacterium. Its description in RNAcentral is "partial 16S ribosomal RNA". It matches the Rfam family "Bacterial small subunit ribosomal RNA", at positions 338 to 795 of the family's 1533-position model. The record is from RNAcentral.
CCUACGGGUGGCUGCAGUGGGGAAUAUUGCACAAUGGGGGAAACCCUGAUGCAGCGACGCCGCGUGAAGGAAGAAGUAUUUCGGUAUGUAAACUUCUAUCAGCAGGGAAGAAAAUGACGGUACCUGACUAAGAAGCCCCGGCUAACUACGUGCCAGCAGCCGCGGUAAUACGUAGGGGGCAAGCGUUAUCCGGAGUUACUGGGUGGAAAGGGAGCGUAGGCGGGUUAGCAAGUCAGAAGUGAAGGCCAGGGGCUCAACUCCGGGACUGCUUUUGAAACUGUUGAACUUGAUUGCAGGAGAGGUAAGUGGAAUUCCUAGUGUAGCGGUGAAAUGCGUAGAUAUUAGGAGGAACACCAGUGGCGAAGGCGGCUUACUGGACUGUAAAUGACGCUGAGGCUCGAAAGCGUGGGGAGCAAACAGGAUUAGAUACCCGAGUAGUC